Molecule: long non-coding RNA, 1380 nt
Filed under: Cricetulus griseus (Chinese hamster)
Lineage: Eukaryota; Metazoa; Chordata; Mammalia; Rodentia; Cricetidae
Description: lncRNA (ENSCGRG00015038231.1)
Source: RNAcentral
GUGAGUUGAAUCCUGUUCAAUGUUUCAAAUGCCACCACCUGACUUCAAACAUCUCAAAGACCCACACACUGUGACUUUUUGUCUUGUUUUGUUUUUGCCUGUUUUGUGCCCCUAUUCGGAAGACCUGGUCAACCCCACCAAGAGUUUGCUCCGAUGUUUCUAAAAUCAAUUGUGCACGGAAAUACUUCCUUCCUGGAAGAAGGAGUCAUGAGAAGAGUUCAGUGCUGAGCGAGAAUGAAAGUGGGAGGCAGGACCAUGUGUUAUGAGGGACCAGUGAAAAAGCCUGAGGGGAGGGAGGGACAGAGGCAAAAAGCCUUUGAGACCAGACCUAGUUUCAACUUGACUGUGAGUCUACUUCAAGCCUUUGAGACCAGACCUAGUUCCAACUUGACUGUGAGUCUGUUUCCGGCUCUUUCUUUCACAAGAUGGCCUUGGGCUAAAUGGGCUUUAGGCCCUAAAACCCUGGCGUUCCUAACCAGGAACAUAAAGGCCACGGGUGCCCCCAGUUUCUGAAGUUAUUUGGGUGCUGGUGCCCUAAGUUGAGGAUCUCCUCAUUCUGAGAAACAAUAGACAAUGUCACAAUGUUGAAUGCGGGUGGAUGCUACAUUACAGUUCAGUCACCAAGAGUCAAGAGACCUCUAGGGGGACCUGAGUCCCAUUCCCAACAGAGGAUCACAACGCUUGGUUAACUCCAGCUCCAGGACAUCUGAUACCUUCUUCUGGCUUCCUCUGGAUCCUGAACAUGCAAGGCAAAUAUCCACAUGAAAUUCAUACAUACGAAGAUCCUGACACUUCCACUGUUCUCCAAGGGCUACAGAGGAGCAAGGCUGUGCUUCCUGUGCUGUGGUCUGGCUGGCUAGACACCUGGAAGUCAGUGAUUCCACUCUUUCUCCCAAAGACUUCAUAAGAAAAAAGCCCUAGAGGACGCUGCAUAGCAAGACUGUUAAAAGAUACCAGACUCUGGAGGCAAACUGUCUAACAAAGACUCUGGCUGGAUCUAUGACCUCCUUCUCUCCGAAGCCCAGUUUCCUUAUUCACAAACUGGGACUGAUGAUAGAUACCUAUGUUAUGGUGCGCUGUAAGGAUGACACAAUAUAACACGUGGAAUACUUGGACAGCACAGAUAUUAGGCUUUGAUGAGUGUUGUCUUUACAUCAUAGUUUUAUCUUAUUUUUAAUUAUGUGCAUGUAUGUGUUUGUGUGCGUGUGUGUGAGUUCCUGAGGAGGCCAGGGGUGUGGGCCUAGAGCUAGAGUUACAGGUGCUUGUGUGCUGCCUGAAGAGGGUGCUGAUAACGGAACUGAGAUCCUCUGUGAGAGUGAACCUUUACCCACUGAGCCUUCUCCCCAAGCCCUGAUAAACGUAUUCUUAUCAUCACUAAUU